This 504-nucleotide ribosomal RNA is filed under the name Sphingomonas sp. RNAcentral describes it as "bacterial SSU rRNA". It matches the Rfam family "Bacterial small subunit ribosomal RNA", at positions 206 to 730 of the family's 1533-position model. Lineage: Bacteria; Pseudomonadati; Pseudomonadota; Alphaproteobacteria; Sphingomonadales; Sphingomonadaceae. The record is from RNAcentral.
GAUUUAUCGCCCUGGGAUGAGCCCGCGUAGGAUUAGCUUGUUGGUGAGGUAAAGGCUCACCAAGGCGACGAUCCUUAGCUGGUCUGAGAGGAUGAUCAGCCACACUGGGACUGAGACACGGCCCAGACUCCUACGGGAGGCAGCAGUGGGGAAUAUUGGACAAUGGGCGAAAGCCUGAUCCAGCAAUGCCGCGUGAGUGAUGAAGGCCUUAGGGUUGUAAAGCUCUUUUACCCGGGAAGAUAAUGACUGUACCGGGAGAAUAAGCCCCGGCUAACUCCGUGCCAGCAGCCGCGGUAAUACGGAGGGGGCUAGCGUUGUUCGGAAUUACUGGGCGUAAAGCGCACGUAGGCGGCUUUGUAAGUUAGAGGUGAAAGCCUGGAGCUCAACUCCAGAAUUGCCUUUAAGACUGCAUCGCUUGAAUCAUGGAGAGGCGGGUGGAAUUCCGAGUGUAGAGGUGAAAUUCGUAGAUAUUCGGAAGAACACCAGUGGCGAAGGCGGCCCGCU